Molecule: long non-coding RNA, 210 nt
Organism: Ailuropoda melanoleuca (giant panda)
Lineage: Eukaryota; Metazoa; Chordata; Mammalia; Carnivora; Ursidae
Exons: 4
Source: RefSeq, a predicted model, not a curated record
AGGGUUCCCUGGGCCUGCCCGGUCCCCCUGGAAGAGACGGCAGCAAAGGCAUGCGGGGGGAGCCAGGAGAGCCGGGAGAGCCGGGGCUGCCGGGCGAGGUGGGCAUGCGGGGAUUCCAAGGACCACCUGGCCUCUCCGGGCCUCCUGGACACAUUGGAGCUCCUGGUCUCCAAGGAGAACGGGGUGAAAAGGGAAACCGAGGAGAAAAGG